This 979-nucleotide ribosomal RNA is filed under the name Enterococcus faecium. RNAcentral describes it as "partial 23S ribosomal RNA". It matches the Rfam family "Bacterial large subunit ribosomal RNA", at positions 12 to 991 of the family's 2925-position model. Lineage: Bacteria; Bacillati; Bacillota; Bacilli; Lactobacillales; Enterococcaceae. The record is from RNAcentral.
AUAAGGGCGCACGGUGGAUGCCUUGGCACUAGGAGCCGAUGAAGGACGGGACUAACACCGAUAUGCUUUGGGGAGCUGUACGUAAGCUAUGAUCCAGAGAUUUCCGAAUGGGGGAACCCAACAUCUUUAAUAGGAUGUUACGAUUGUGUGAAUACAUAGCACAUUCGAGGUAGACGCAGAGAACUGAAACAUCUAAGUACCUGCAGGAAGAGAAAGAAAAUUCGAUUCCCUGAGUAGCGGCGAGCGAAACGGGAAAAGCCCAAACCAGCAAGCUUGCUUGUUGGGGUUGUAGGACUCCAAUAUGGUAGUUCUUUCAGAUAGUCGAAUGACUUGGAAAAGUCAGUCAAAGAGGGUAAAAACCCCGUAGACGAAAUGUGGAAGACACCUAGGAGGAUCCUGAGUACGGCGGAACACGAGAAAUUCCGUCGGAAUCCGGGAGGACCAUCUCCCAAGGCUAAAUACUCCCUAGUGACCGAUAGUGAACCAGUACCGUGAGGGAAAGGUGAAAAGCACCCCGGAAGGGGAGUGAAAUAGAACCUGAAACCGUGUGCCUACAACAAGUCAAAGCCCGUUAAUGGGUGAUGGCGUGCCUUUUGUAGAAUGAACCGGCGAGUUACGAUUGCAUGCGAGGUUAAGUUGAAGAGACGGAGCCGCAGCGAAAGCGAGUCUGAAUAGGGCGUUUGAGUAUGUAGUCGUAGACCCGAAACCAUGUGAUCUACCCAUGUCCAGGUUGAAGGUGCGGUAAAACGCACUGGAGGACCGAACCCACGUACGUUGAAAAGUGCGGGGAUGAGGUGUGGGUAGCGGAGAAAUUCCAAACGAACUUGGAGAUAGCUGGUUCUCUCCGAAAUAGCUUUAGGGCUAGCCUCGGAAUUGAGAAUGAUGGAGGUAGAGCACUGUUUGGACUAGGGGCCCAUCUCGGGUUACCGAAUUCAGAUAAACUCCGAAUGCCAUUCAUUCAUAUCCGGGAGUCAGACUG